UAGAUUUCUAUCAAUCUCAACCAGUGUUUUCUGGAUUCAUGGACAUGGAAAUUAGCAUAACAAAUCCAGCUCACAGUAAUGUGCACCUUGGCAGUUUUAAUGGAUAUGAGGCAAAAGGCUUUGGGAAAAUAAACGGAGCUCUAAAAGCUAUGUCUUUGAAAACACAUGACAAUCUAAAACAGUGCUGCUGUUAGGUUUACCAUCAAUCCUAGGCAACUAUUAAAGUUUUCCGAGAACAGUAACACCACCACCAUUGUGGAGUUACGGUUGCACUCCUACUUAAAAGAAUCCCAUAGUAUCAACUGCAAUAUCACACACUGCCACUGCGCCAUCCAUCUGCUG
Molecule: long non-coding RNA, 342 nt
Filed under: Homo sapiens (human)
Lineage: Eukaryota; Metazoa; Chordata; Mammalia; Primates; Hominidae
Description: HSALNT0249787
Source: RNAcentral